CGUUAGCCUUGAACUUGUCACUUUUAAAAUGAUGAAGUUGGGUACAGGUUGAAGUUUAUGUCUGGAGAAAUUAACUCUCCACUAUUUCUGGCCUACCUGGAUAUGGGCAGCACAUGCUCUUCAGGCAGAGGAAGUCCAGAGUCAAAGAGACACAAAUGCUUGAGUUUCAACAAUGUCCUUGGAGAGGGCCAGAAAAGAGCAAGAGGAAUUGGAAGCCACACGGUAUCUGACAAGGCUUGUUCAUUAUCACAGGUGAGAUGCACCCAGGGAUUUGCCAGAACUACUUGGGCAGUUUUGAUUGAUGGCUGCA
Molecule: long non-coding RNA, 310 nt
Filed under: Rhinopithecus roxellana (golden snub-nosed monkey)
Lineage: Eukaryota; Metazoa; Chordata; Mammalia; Primates; Cercopithecidae
Description: lncRNA (ENSRROG00000045854.1)
Source: RNAcentral